AACCAUAGAAACCUGCGGAGUACCUGCGGAAGGAUCAUUAUUGAAUAUAAAGCUUGGUAUAUAGACUGUUGCUGGCUCUUUGGAGCAAUGUGCACGUCUAUUGCCGACUUUUUAUCAACCUCCACCUGUGCACUUUAUGUAGAUCUGGAUUAUUAUUCGAGGUGUAACAAACUCGGUCUGAAGAAUUGCGAUAAUCAGCUUUUCUUCAACAAUUCAGAUCUAUGUUUCUAUUAUAACUCC
Molecule: unclassified non-coding RNA, 240 nt
Filed under: soil metagenome
Description: partial contains 5.8S ribosomal RNA, internal transcribed spacer 2, and large subunit ribosomal RNA
Source: RNAcentral